This is a long non-coding RNA of Ixodes scapularis (black-legged tick), 543 nucleotides long. RefSeq lists it as uncharacterized. The record is from RefSeq and is a predicted model, not a curated record. The transcript is spliced from 5 exons. NCBI's taxonomy places the organism in Eukaryota, Metazoa, Arthropoda, Arachnida, Ixodida, Ixodidae.
UUCUACGCUUCUAGAUGACCCUCUCCAGAUUGCGCUGGUUGUUGACAGGGUGCUUGUGUUUGAGGCAAGCAGUCUCGAGGUCGCUCUCUGCUCGCUCCUGGGAGCGUAUUUCGUCUUCAACAUCAAGUACCCAAAGGAGGCCUCGUACACGCUGGAGUUCCUUCAGAGGCAUUUUGGCCAGAUAAACCCAUCUAAAGGUAGCAAGUCCAGCUCCCGUGGUCACAACAAGGUCAAUGGAAUCCCAGCCAGAAUUCUAGGUCUGCUGAACAAGAUUCGUUCACUCUAAUGGCUUCCUCAGAUGAAAGCGUAGGCUGGGGUCCUGACAAGUCAUUCUUUUUUUAACUGGUCCGGGCACAUCGUUUUUAUUGAAGGUUUUCUGCACGUAAAGCGCAAGAUGGAGCGUGGACAAGUUUUUUGUUGUUUUAAUCGUCCAAGGCAUGGAGUUUUACUGAAGGUUUCCUCAGACGAGAGCGUAAGCUGGGGUCCGGACAAGCUGUUAUUUUUUUUUUUUUUAAACGGCCCGGGCACGUUGCUUUAUUGAAG